AUUUGGUAUUAUUAGUUACCGGUUUUUUCUUAAAUACCCUAAAUACCGACUUGCCAAAUCGACGCAUCAUAAAUUGAUCAUAGUUUUGUUAGUGGACUAGAAUGGAGUCAUAGAAACCAUUCAGCGUGAAAGUGUUCGGGAUGCAAGUAUGCCGCAGGUGCCUAUCGCCCCUUCUUGUUGAGAUGAAAGGUCAAUUUUAGGUGAUGUGAGACAUAUUGCGCAGACUUGACAUAUAUGGUGGAAAAUCUAAGAGAUUAACCAGCUUUUGCAUCAAAAUUGACUUCUUUCCAUCCAUUGGGAUCGUCCAUCUUUAGUAUCACACAUACCCAAGAUGUCUAAUUCUCAUGCAGACGCACCAUCGAAGGAAAUUAGAAAGAGAGGAAUUGUAUUCUCUCGUGUAGCACUGACUGGUCGAGAGCCAGGUGAUGUUGCCCACAACGAUAUGAUAUUGAUCAAACUUGAGAUGCAAUAUGUUGUUGAUAAAAUAUACUCACCGUUUCAAAAAUCCACGUUUUUAAACAAAUAUUUCAAAAUUAAAUAUUUUUUGCUUUUUAAUGUAUUAUUUAUUAGUAAAUUGCAAACUUAAACAAAUUGUAUUUAUUGAAAUUUGAUUGGCCAAAAAUUGUUGAAAAUAAUUAAUUACAAAAAACCAUGCAUUAAUAAUCAAAAUUUAGUAAAUGGAGUAUUUUUUAAUAUGUGCGAAAAUUUUGAACUAACAUUUAAGGAAUAUACAUAUUUUGUAAAAAUGCACGAAGCUUUACAAUAAAUUUAGUUAUGUAAAACUACGUUAUGUUUUUUCAACAAAUAAGUAUUUUGAGUUUUAGUCAUAAAUAUACAGAUGCAGCUGUCGCAAGAAUUUGGAUCAUUCAAUUGUUAUAGUCUCAAACAUAAAUGUGACACUCUUUGCAUUAAAUUUUGAUGGAAACAGGCUGGUGACAGAUGUAAAAGGAACA
This 953-nucleotide long non-coding RNA is filed under the name Brassica napus (rape). RNAcentral's name for it is "long non-coding RNA (BNAP_LNC002781)". The record is from RNAcentral. Lineage: Eukaryota; Viridiplantae; Streptophyta; Magnoliopsida; Brassicales; Brassicaceae.